GCCUGAUGCAGCGACGCCGCGUGAGGGAUGACGGCCUUCGGGUUGUAAACCUCUUUCAGUAGGGAAGAAGCGAAAGUGACGGUACCUGCAGAAGAAGCGCCGGCUAACUACGUGCCAGCAGCCGCGGUAAUACGUAGGGCGCAAGCGUUAUCCGGAAUUAUUGGGCGUAAAGAGCUCGUAGGCGGUUUGUCGCGUCUGCCGUGAAAGUCCGGGGCUCAACUCCGGAUCUGCGGUGGGUACGGGCAGACUAGAGUGAUGUAGGGGAGACUGGAAUUCCUGGUGUAGCGGUGAAAUGCGCAGAUAUCAGGAGGAACACCGAUGGCGAAGGCAGGUCUCUGGGCAUUAACUGACGCUGAGGAGCGAAAGCAUGGGGAGCGAACAGGAUUAGAUACCCUGGUAGUCCAUGCCGUAAACGUUGGGCACUAGGUGUGGGGGACAUUCCACGUUUUCCGCGCCGUAGCUAACGCAUUAAGUGCCCCGCCUGGGGAGUACGGCCGCAAGGCUAAAACUCAAAGGAAUUGACGGGGGCCCGCACAAGCGGCGGAGCAUGCGGAUUAAUUCGAUGCAACGCGAAGAACCUUACCAAGGCUUGACAUGGGCCGGACCGGGCUGGAAACAGUCCUUCCCCUUUGGGGCC
Molecule: ribosomal RNA, 637 nt
Filed under: Arthrobacter sp. So3Ps_1885
Lineage: Bacteria; Bacillati; Actinomycetota; Actinomycetes; Micrococcales; Micrococcaceae
Description: bacterial SSU rRNA
Rfam family: Bacterial small subunit ribosomal RNA
Source: RNAcentral